This 441-nucleotide ribosomal RNA is filed under the name uncultured bacterium. RNAcentral describes it as "partial 16S ribosomal RNA". It matches the Rfam family "Bacterial small subunit ribosomal RNA", at positions 338 to 795 of the family's 1533-position model. The record is from RNAcentral.
CCUACGGGAGGCAGCAGUGAGGAAUAUUGGACAAUGGACGAAACUCUGAAGCAGCCAAGCCGCGUGAAGGAAGACGGCUUUCGGAUUUUAAACUUCUGUUCAUAUGGAAGAAUAGUGACGGUUGCUAAGUAGCAAGCAACGACUAACUACGUGCCAGCAGCCGCGGUAAUACGUAGGUGGCACGCUUUUUCCGGAUUUACUGGGUGUAAAGGGAGCGCAGGCGGGAAGCCAAGUCAGUUGUGAAAGCUACGGGCUUAACUUGUAGACUGCAGUUGAAACUGGUUGUCUUGAGUGAAGCAGAGGUUGGCGGAAUUCGGGGUGUAGCGGUGAAAUGCGUAGAUAUUCGGAGGAACACCGGUGGCGAAGGCGGCCAACUGGGCUUUAACUGACGCUGAGGCUCGAAAGUGUGGGGAGCAAACAGGAUUAGAUACCCGAGUAGUC